This 986-nucleotide unclassified non-coding RNA is filed under the name Hevea brasiliensis (rubber tree). Lineage: Eukaryota; Viridiplantae; Streptophyta; Magnoliopsida; Malpighiales; Euphorbiaceae. The record is from RNAcentral.
GGAGGUUUGAAAAUUAUCCACUUACCAAAUAAAAAACCAGAAAAUUUUCAGGUAAAACUAAAAGAAAAAUAAAAAAGAACUUAGUAAGAAGAAAUUAUGAUGCAUACAAAUUUGGGUUAUUUACGCUUUCUAAGACCAUCAAAGUCCUUCAACUGUGCUUUCAACCAAUUGUGCUCAUGCCGCAAUCUCUCCAGCUGCGCCUCAACCAUAAACAUCUCAUCCUUGAGAUGUUGCAUCCGCCUCUCCAACCAAGUCACAGCUUCAGCUGAUCUUUCGCCUAUUCCACCACCCAUGCCACCUAUGUAAUAGUGUCCCGGAGGAACAACAUGAACAUUUUGGGGUCUGUUCAAUAGGACAAGGAUGCUCACCUGCAUCAGGAAGAUCACAGCAAAUGCAACAACUAAGAUCAAGGUAAUUUGGCUCUGACUUUUCAAAUAUGUACAGAAUUUUGCCACAUAUUCUCCCAACAAAGAUGCAACUGUUGUAGCAUUCAUGAAAUUUCCUUGCACAAGGUUACCAACCCUAUCAUUAACAUCCAACGAACCAGACAUCUGUGCCAUCCUUCCAUGGUCAUUUAACUGGCUUGUUGACCUAUCUGAGGCUUCCCCAGUUUUCACUUCACUUAACAAAUUCGCUUCACCAUUCUGAAUCAAACUAGUAAAAGGACCUUCUUCUUGUCUUUCAAGGUUCUUCUGCUUCAACAUUUCAUGUGCCAUAUUUAUCCAUAUUGCAAAAGCUUCACGACACUCGCCCAAGGUAGACUGCACUAUUUUCCCUUUGAAAACAGUUUUCUUGCUGAAUGCCACAUCCACAUAUAUCCGCAAAAUACAGCCUUCUAUUUGAUUCAUCACCAUCUUUAACUACGUCCCACAGCCCCUCAACACGAAAAUAAUCUCCAUAAGGCACGUCAUUGAUUUCUUGAUAUGUCUUAAUAACCAAAUGACUGUUUCUGUAUACUUGAAAUUUCUGGACCUCCUGGCAGCUGC